RNAcentral lists this transfer RNA (36 nucleotides) under Aquilaria sinensis. Its description in RNAcentral is "partial tRNA-Phe". Lineage: Eukaryota; Viridiplantae; Streptophyta; Magnoliopsida; Malvales; Thymelaeaceae. The record is from RNAcentral.
CCGGGAUAGCUCAGCUGGUAAAGCAAAGGACUGAAA